RNAcentral lists this ribosomal RNA (449 nucleotides) under uncultured Bifidobacterium sp. RNAcentral's name for it is "bacterial SSU rRNA". It matches the Rfam family "Bacterial small subunit ribosomal RNA", at positions 173 to 640 of the family's 1533-position model. Lineage: Bacteria; Bacillati; Actinomycetota; Actinomycetes; Bifidobacteriales; Bifidobacteriaceae. The record is from RNAcentral.
CUCCAGUUGAUCGCAUGGUCUUCUGGGAAAGCUUUCGCGGUAUGGGAUGGGGUCGCGUCCUAUCAGCUUGACGGCGGGGUAACGGCCCACCGUGGCUUCGACGGGUAGCCGGCCUGAGAGGGCGACCGGCCACAUUGGGACUGAGAUACGGCCCAGACUCCUACGGGAGGCAGCAGUGGGGAAUAUUGCACAAUGGGCGCAAGCCUGAUGCAGCGACGCCGCGUGAGGGAUGGAGGCCUUCGGGUUGUAAACCUCUUUUAUCGGGGAGCAAGCGAGAGUGAGUUUAUCCGUUGAAUAAGCACCGGCUAACUACGUGCCAGCAGCCGCGGUAAUACGUAGGGUGCAAGCGUUAUCCGGAAUUAUUGGGCGUAAAGGGCUCGUAGGCGGUUCGUCGCGUCCGGUGUGAAAGUCCAUCGCUUAACGGUGGAUCCGCGCCGGGUACGGGCGGG